AGGCUUUAUUUUGCCGUGAUGGCACCCUAUAUUGAAGGUGCUGGUGCUUGCAUCAGAUAUGGCGAUAAAUGGCGAUCGUAAUAAACCAUUCGGACCCGGGGGCAGUACCCGGCACCUCCACCAAAUGCUGCUUUUGUCGGCAUCAGGUGGUCAGUUAACCCCGUAAGGCAUCAUUUGCUGGGGGUGAACCAGGAUCGACGAGGGUGUAAAGGGUUUGCUUUUGCUCGGCAUUGUACCGCCGUUAUCGGGCUAUUUUAGUAGUUGCAAACGACAACUAUGCGGAAGCACGUCUGGCUGCGUAACGCAGUCUGAUCGCUUCGAUCUAAGCCCUAGGCCCUCGCAGGUCUAGGCGGGGUUCGGGGGCACCUGGCAACAGAAGCCCCCACU
This 387-nucleotide transfer-messenger RNA is filed under the name Anderseniella sp. It matches the Rfam family "Alphaproteobacteria transfer-messenger RNA". From Rfam's summary of the family: Bacterial tmRNA, also known as 10Sa RNA or SsrA, is named for its dual tRNA and mRNA-like properties. Its role is to liberate the mRNA from a stalled ribosome. The record is from RNAcentral. Lineage: Bacteria; Pseudomonadati; Pseudomonadota; Alphaproteobacteria; Hyphomicrobiales; Parvibaculaceae.